RNAcentral lists this ribosomal RNA (253 nucleotides) under uncultured bacterium. RNAcentral describes it as "partial 16S ribosomal RNA". It matches the Rfam family "Bacterial small subunit ribosomal RNA", at positions 524 to 776 of the family's 1533-position model. The record is from RNAcentral.
UACGGGGGGGGCAAGCGUUGUUCGGAAUUACUGGGCGUAAAGGGCUCGUAGGUGGCCCACUAAGUCAGACGUGAAAUCCCUCGGCUUAACUGGGGAACUGCGUCUGAUACUGGAUGGCUUGGAUUCGGGAGAGGAAUGCGGAAUUCCAGGUGUAGCGGUGAAAUGCGUAGAUAUCUGGAGGAACACCGGUGGCGAAGGCGGCAUUCUGGACCGAUAUUGACGCUGAGGAGCGAAAGCCAGGGGAGCAAACGGG